UACGGAGGGAUCUAGCGUUAUUCGGAAUUACUGGGCGUAAAGCGAGCGUAGGCGGAUUUGUAAGUUGGAUGUGAAAUCCCAGAGCUUAACUCUGGAACUGCAUUCAAAACUACAUUUCUUGAGUUUGGUAGGGGAGAGUGGAAUUCCUAGUGUAGAGGUGAAAUUCGUAGAUAUUAGGAGGAACACCAGUGGCGAAGGCGACUCUCUGGACCAAUACUGACGCUGAGGUUCGAAAGCGUGGGUAGCGAACAGG
RNAcentral lists this ribosomal RNA (253 nucleotides) under uncultured Pelagibacterales bacterium. RNAcentral describes it as "partial 16S ribosomal RNA". It matches the Rfam family "Bacterial small subunit ribosomal RNA", at positions 524 to 776 of the family's 1533-position model. Lineage: Bacteria; Pseudomonadati; Pseudomonadota; Alphaproteobacteria; Candidatus Pelagibacterales. The record is from RNAcentral.